GUCCCUUAGCGAACUUUGUAAAUUUAGAGCAAUCCCAUAAAUAGCUUGAUUAAAUUCGUGAUUUGGUUCUGAAUAAUAAUAUUCUCAAUAUUUUUUACAUAUUCUGUUUGUUUAUUUACUGUUUGUUUACAACUUUAAACCAGUUUGCACUAAAUUCUGUGCAGUAUCCUUGGUCAUCUGGUCUCACUACCAGGUUAGAACGAUUGAUCAAAUUUUUCCACAUAAAGUCAAAUUGGUUAAAAUUGUUAAAAUAUUUUAAUUAAUAAUUUGGAAUUCUUUCAUUUUUUAGUUGGAUUUAGUUUGUGAAAUCGGCGGAUCUGAGCAAGCGUGAGCGUGAGCGUGAGCGUGCACGUGAACUUGCAUUGUGGUUUAUAUCGGUUCAGCAGCAUCCUUAAGCAAACUUAUUGCUCUCCUUAAGCAAACUUAUUGCUCAAGACCCUGCUGGAUCUACCCUAGCUCUGUUCAACCCCGAUCAGCGAAACAAUUUUUGAAACCGCUGUGCUGUUAUCAAUCUGUGAACUGAUCGGAACCCUUUCUAAGAAGAUUGUAUUUAUUAAUAAAGAUUUACGUUACUUAA
Molecule: long non-coding RNA, 577 nt
Organism: Eurytemora carolleeae
Lineage: Eukaryota; Metazoa; Arthropoda; Copepoda; Calanoida; Temoridae
Exons: 3
Source: RefSeq, a predicted model, not a curated record